CCCAAGAUGAAACAGACCAAGACCAGGAGUUGCUCAAGUCAAAAGAACGAUCGAUUGCAUAUUGACUGGGUAUAUUGGAAGCCACAACUGAAAUUGGAUGGUCAUUAUUAGAGAACUCAUUAUUUCUUCCAGAGAGUUCUAAACCACAACCUGUUCUUUCUCUCAUUUGAUCUACCUUAGUUUGAUCAGUAUGAAACAGAGUUGCAGGCUCAUUAGUUUUUUUUAACAGAACCUGUAAUGGCUGGAAAGAUGAAGGCAACUUUUCUGGCAGAAGACUUUGAGAAACAGACUUUAUGUUGGUUUUAC
This 306-nucleotide unclassified non-coding RNA is filed under the name Hevea brasiliensis (rubber tree). The record is from RNAcentral. Lineage: Eukaryota; Viridiplantae; Streptophyta; Magnoliopsida; Malpighiales; Euphorbiaceae.